AUUAAACGCUGGCGGCAUGCCUAACACAUGCAAGUCGAACGGCAGCACAGCAGAGCUUGCUCUGUGGGUGGCGAGUGGCGGACGGGUGAGUAAUGCAUCGGGACCUACCCAGACGUGGGGGAUAACGUAGGGAAACUUACGCUAAUACCGCAUACGUCCUACGGGAGAAAGCGGGGGACCUUCGGGCCUCGCGCGGUUGGAUGGACCGAUGUUCGAUUAGCUAGUUGGUAGGGUAAUGGCCUACCAAGGCGACGAUCGAUAGCUGGUCUGAGAGGAUGAUCAGCCACACUGGGACUGAGACACGGCCCAG
Molecule: ribosomal RNA, 310 nt
Filed under: uncultured bacterium
Lineage: Bacteria
Description: bacterial SSU rRNA
Rfam family: Bacterial small subunit ribosomal RNA
Source: RNAcentral